GACGAACGCUGGCGGCGUGCUUAACACAUGCAAGUCGAACGGAAAGGCCCCUUUGGGGGUACUCGAGUGGCGAACGGGUGAGUAACACGUGAGUAACCUGCCCUUGACUUCGGGAUAACUUCAGGAAACUGGGGCUAAUACCGGAUAGGAAUCCUUGCUGCAUGGUGGGGGUUGGAAAGCUUCGGCGGUUUUGGAUGGACUCGCGGCUUAUCAGCUUGCUGGUGGGGUAGUGGCUUACCAAGGCUUUGACGGGUAGCCGGCCUGAGAGGGCGACCGGCCACAUUGGGACUGAGAUACGGCCCAGACUCCUACGGGAGGCAGCAGUGGGGAAUAUUGCACAAUGGGCGGAAGCCUGAUGCAGCAACGCCGCGGGCGGGAUGACGGGCUUCGGGUUGUAAACCGCUUUCAGCAGGGGCGAAGCUUGUGGUGACGGUACCUGCAGAAGAAGCACCGGCUAACUACGUG
This 465-nucleotide ribosomal RNA is filed under the name uncultured bacterium. Its description in RNAcentral is "partial 16S ribosomal RNA". It matches the Rfam family "Bacterial small subunit ribosomal RNA", at positions 28 to 507 of the family's 1533-position model. The record is from RNAcentral.